GCCCGGCUAGCUCAAUCGGUAGAGCGUGAGACUCUUACAAACAGGAUGAUAUAUCAUCUGGGUUCAUCUCAAGGCUGUGGGUUCGACCCCCACGUCGGGCU
Molecule: transfer RNA, 101 nt
Filed under: Pyricularia grisea
Lineage: Eukaryota; Fungi; Ascomycota; Sordariomycetes; Magnaporthales; Pyriculariaceae
Description: tRNA-Lys
Rfam family: tRNA
About the family: Transfer RNA (tRNA) molecules are approximately 80 nucleotides in length. Their secondary structure includes four short double-helical elements and three loops (D, anti-codon, and T loops).
Source: RNAcentral